UUCGCUAGUGAAAUCAACAUGCCAUUCGAGGUUGAAAUUUUAGGCCUUGAAUCUUUAACUUCUGGUUCUUGGUCAUUGCCUCGUCGUGUAUCAGAGACAGAAGUAAUUGCUGUGAAUCUUCCGAUUGGGCCCUUUUCAAAUUACCCGUCAUCUCUUCCAGUGGCUCUUCGCUUUGUGAAGCAGCUCUCACCUAAAGUUGUGGUCUCUUCGGACAAGGGCUGCGACCGAACUGACCUGCCUUUCGCCCACCAUGUAAAUCAUUCUAUUCAAUCUUAUUCCAGCCUGCUUGAAUCUUUGGAAGCUGUGAAUAUGAACCUAGAUGCGCUGCAAAAGAUUGAGAGAUUCUUGGUCCAACCAGGUAUUGAAAAAACUGUAUUGGGUCGUCAUCGCCACCCUGAUA
Molecule: unclassified non-coding RNA, 400 nt
Filed under: Hevea brasiliensis (rubber tree)
Lineage: Eukaryota; Viridiplantae; Streptophyta; Magnoliopsida; Malpighiales; Euphorbiaceae
Source: RNAcentral